Molecule: ribosomal RNA, 349 nt
Filed under: uncultured bacterium
Lineage: Bacteria
Description: bacterial SSU rRNA
Rfam family: Bacterial small subunit ribosomal RNA
Source: RNAcentral
GACGAACGCUGGCGGCGUGCCUAAUACAUGCAAGUCGAACGGUCUUUUCUAUGGAAGCUUGCUUCCACUGAGAAGAUAGUGGCGAACGGGUGAGUAACACGUGGGUAACCUGCCCAUAAGAGGGGGAUAACAUCCGGAAACGGUGCUAAUACCGCAUAGGUUUCUUGGUCGCAUGAUCGAGAAAGGAAGACGGCCUUUGUGCUGUCGCUGAUGGAUGGACCCGCGCUGCAUUAGCUAGUUGGUGGGGUAACGCUCACCAAGGCCACGAUGCAUAGCCGACUGAGAGGGUAUCGGCCACACUGGGACUGAGACACGGACCAGACUCCUACGGGAGCAGCAGUGAGGAAUA